CAGGUUGUAAGAAUUAUUUAAGGGCUGCAGGAUAGUUGUGGUGAAAGGGGUUUUCCUGUUCUCUCAACUCAUAUCAAGUGCAGAGUAGUAAACCUGUUGUGACUUGAUACCUUUCAUAACAUGCAAGGAAGAUCAAAGAAAAUAACAUCCCAAGAUACAUCAAUUGAUACAGCGUACCAAACUACUGACUCUAUAAUAAUUUUAGGCGAUUUAAACAUCGAUCUGAUCACUACAAAAAACAGUUACCGUUGAAUAUGUUAGUUAGCUAUAUCUGGUUUGUGAGCUUGGUACUUUUAGUUCCCAUAGUAACAACAUUUUCACUUCCACUUCAUCAUGGUUUUAACCGGAAACGCGAAGUAGGUCAACUCUCGAGUUUUUUGGAAGAAAUGGAUGAGCGAAAUGCAGAAGGAACGGAGACGUUACAUCCACGAGAAGCAGAACGAGAUGAAAGCAUGCCAGAAAGAGCACAGCCUUGUAUAACCAUCCAUUAUCUAAUGGUAUUACAGAAUCAGUUUAAGCACCGUAUAGAUCCCAAUGGUGACGGUAAAGCCACAUUUGACGAAGUUAAAAAUUUCCUCCGUCAUUACCAGCCACAUAUUACAAGCAGAACUGUUAACAAUUUCAUUCAACGAAGAG
Long non-coding RNA from Patella vulgata (common limpet), 636 nucleotides. RefSeq lists it as uncharacterized. The transcript has 6 exons. The record is from RefSeq and is a predicted model, not a curated record. NCBI's taxonomy places the organism in Eukaryota, Metazoa, Mollusca, Gastropoda, Patellidae.